CUAGGGCCCCCCCAACCCAAUUGUGUCUUUAGAGUUCAUGCAGACCGGGGGGCCGACUAACCAAUUAAUGUGUGCUCUGCGUCCUGUAGUUGCCCCCCAGCGACACCCCCAUGGAAGUUGGGGCCCACUGUCCGCUUUUUCUGUGCCCUAUUAUUCCCAGGUGCGCUCCCCAAUGGCUGGGAACCUCCUGCUGCUGGAAUCC
Molecule: non-coding RNA, 202 nt
Organism: Pelobates cultripes (western spadefoot toad)
Lineage: Eukaryota; Metazoa; Chordata; Amphibia; Anura; Pelobatidae
Source: the annotation of a GenBank genome assembly